GUCGAGCGGAUGAGAGGAGCUUGCUCCUCGAUUCAGCGGCGGACGGGUGAGUAAUGCCUAGGAAUCUGCCUGGUAGUGGGGGACAACGUUUCGAAAGGAACGCUAAUACCGCAUACGUCCUACGGGAGAAAGCAGGGGACCUUCGGGCCUUGCGCUAUCAGAUGAGCCUAGGUCGGAUUAGCUAGUUGGUGAGGUAAUGGCUCACCAAGGCGACGAUCCGUAACUGGUCUGAGAGGAUGAUCAGUCACACUGGAACUGAGACACGGUCCAGACUCCUACGGGAGGCAGCAGUGGGGAAUAUUGGACAAUGGGCGAAAGCCUGAUCCAGCCAUGCCGCGUGUGUGAAGAAGGUCUUCGGAUUGUAAAGCACUUUAAGUUGGGAGGAAGGGUUGUUUCCUAAUACGAAGCAAUUUUGACGUUACCGACAGAAUAAGCACCGGCUAACUCUGUGCCAGCAGCCGCGGUAAUACAGAGGGUGCAAGCGUUAAUCGGAAUUACUGGGCGUAAAGCGCGCGUAGGUGGUUUGUUAAGUUGAAUGUGAAAUCCCCGGGCUCAACCUGGGAACUGCAUCCAAAACUGGCAAGCUAGAGUAGGGUAGAGGGUGGGUGGAAUUUCCUGUGUAGCGGUGAAAUGCGUAGAUAUAGGAAGGAACACCAGUGGCGAAGGCGACCACCUGGACUCAUACUGACACUGAGGUGC
Molecule: ribosomal RNA, 699 nt
Filed under: Pseudomonas koreensis
Lineage: Bacteria; Pseudomonadati; Pseudomonadota; Gammaproteobacteria; Pseudomonadales; Pseudomonadaceae
Description: bacterial SSU rRNA
Rfam family: Bacterial small subunit ribosomal RNA
Source: RNAcentral